This 1627-nucleotide unclassified non-coding RNA is filed under the name uncultured fungus. RNAcentral describes it as "sequence contains 18S rRNA gene, ITS1, 5.8S rRNA gene, ITS2, 28S rRNA gene". The stretch from base 575 to 1627 matches the Rfam family "Eukaryotic large subunit ribosomal RNA", at positions 1 to 961 of the family's 3401-position model. The record is from RNAcentral. Lineage: Eukaryota; Fungi.
GGAAGGAUCAUUAAAUAAUUUAGAUGGCCUUUGCUAGUUUUCUAGCGAAUGGUUCAUUCUUUUUUACUGUGAACUGUUUUAAUUUUUCAGCGUCUGAGGAAUGUCUUUUAGCCAUAGGGAUAGGCUACUAGAAUGUUAACCGAGCUGAAAGUCAGGCUUAGGCCUGGUAUCCUAUUAAUUAUUUACCAAAAGAAUUCAGUAUUAUAAUUGUAACAUAAGCGUAAAAAACUUAUAAAACAACUUUUAACAACGGAUCUCUUGGUUCUCGCAUCGAUGAAGAACGUAGCAAAGUGCGAUAACUAGUGUGAAUUGCAUAUUCAGUGAAUCAUCGAGUCUUUGAACGCAACUUGCGCUCAAUGGUAUUCCAUUGAGCACGCCUGUUUCAGUAUCAAAAACACCCCACAUUCAUAAUUUUGUUGUGAAUGGAAUUGAGAGUUUCGGCUUUAUUGCUGAAUUCUUUAAAAUUAUUAGGCCUGAACUAUUGUUCUUUCUGCCUGAACAUUUUUUUAAUAUAAAGGAAUGCUCUAGUAAAAAGACUAUCUCUGGGGCCUCCCAAAUAAAUCAUUCUUAAAUUUGAUCUGAAAUCAGGCGGGAUUACCCGCUGAACUUAAGCAUAUCAAUAAGCGGAGGAAAAGAAAAUAACAAUGAUUUCCCUAGUAACGGCGAGUGAAGAGGAAAGAGCUCAAAGUUGGAACCUGUUUGGCUUAGCUAAACCGGAUUGUAAACUGUAGAAGUGUUUUCCAGACACGCCUGGUAAAAAAGUCCUUUGGAACAGGGCAUCAUAGAGGGUGAGAAUCCCGUCAUUGGCCAGAGCUGUUGUCUUUUGUGAUACAUUUUCAAAGAGUCAGGUUGUUUGGGAAUGCAGCCUAAAUUGGGUGGUAAAUCUCACCUAAAGCUAAAUAUUUGCGAGAGACCGAUAGCGAACAAGUACCGUGAGGGAAAGAUGAAAAGAACUUUGAAAAGAGAGUUAAACAGUAUGUGAAAUUGUUAAAAGGGAACCGUUUGGAGCCAGACUGGCUUAACUGUAAUCAAUCUAGGCUUUGGCCUGGAUGCACUUGCGGUUUAUGCCGGCCAACGACAGUUUUGUUUGAGGGAAAAAAUUACAUUGAAUGUGGCCCUUCGGGGUGUUAUAGCUUUGUAAAAAAUACCUUGGACUGGACUGAGGAACGCAGUGAAUGCCUUUAGGCAAGAUUGCUGGGUGCUUUCGCUAAUAAAUGCUAGAAUUUCUGCUUCGGGUGGUGCUAGUGUUUAAAGGAGGAACUCGCUUAGUAUAUUUUUUAUUCGCUUAGGUUGUUGGCUUAAUGACUCUAAAUGACCCGUCUUGAAACACGGACCAAGGAGUCCACCAUAAGUGCGAGUAUUUGGGUGACAAACCCAUAUGCGCAAGGAAACUGAUUGAUACGAAGGCUUUAAGCUGGCAGUAUCACCCGGCGUUGACGUUUUAUACUGAACUGACCGAGGUAAAGCACUUAUGAUGGGACCCGAAAGAUGGUGAACUAUGCCUGAAUAGGGUGAAGCCGGAGGAAACUCCGGUGGAGGCUCGUAGCGAUUCUGACGUGCAAAUCGAUCGUCAAAUUUGGGUAUAGGGGCGAAAGACUAAUCGAACCAUCUAGUAGCUGGUUCCUGC